Molecule: ribosomal RNA, 491 nt
Filed under: uncultured bacterium
Lineage: Bacteria
Description: partial 16S ribosomal RNA
Rfam family: Bacterial small subunit ribosomal RNA
Source: RNAcentral
ACGCACGCUGGCGGCGUGCUUAACACAUGCAAGUCGAACGGAAAGGCCCCCACUUUUUUGGUGGGGGUGCUCGAGUGGCGAACGGGUGAGUAACACGUGGGUGAUCUGCCCUGUACUUCGGGAUAAGCUUGGGAAACUGGGUCUAAUACCGGAUAGGACCAUGGUUUAGUGUCUCAUGGUGGAAAAAUUAUUGUUUUGGUGCAGGAUGAGCUCGCGGCCUAUCAGCUUGUUGGUGGGGUAAUGGCCUACCAAGGCGUCGACGGGUAGCCGGCCUGAGAGGGUGGACGGCCACAUUGGGACUGAGAUACGGCCCAGACUCCUACGGGAGGCAGCAGUGGGGAAUAUUGCACAAUGGGCGCAAGCCUGAUGCAGCGACGCCGCGUGGGGGAUGACGGCCUUCGGGUUGUAAACUCCUUUCGUUAGGGACGAAGCCGCACCUUUUUUGGGUGUGGUGACGGUACCUUUGUUAAGAAGCACCGGCUAACUACGUG